UCCAGUACAGUAACAGAGCUCAUUAUAACAAGAACGUACACUUUUUUGAGAAAUAAAAUAAUGAACUUAGUAUUUCUUGUGAACUGCAGUAUAAUUUGUGAAAAACAAAAGAAACCAGUUCCAGUUAUUAUCUGGCGUCCACCUUGGUCGUUAGCUGCCUCUAAAAAGUAGUGAUUUAAUUUGUGGACAACUUAUUGCUAAUUUAGUUGUCACCCGAAACACGAUGGAUCAAACUAAUAGGAUGAACCAGUGUGAAGAACCUUUAACGACCAUCACCCUGCCUGUUACAAAGGACCUAAAAAUGGGCUCAAAAGCACUGGAUUUGAUAAUGUUCUGGUUCCGGGUAAUCCUAUACCUUAUGUCCGGGCUACUGUAUGUCAUCGCGUUCUUUGGUCUGGAGGUCAUGAAGGGUGUUCAUAGAGGCUCCCAUGGAAAUUUCAAACGAGCUUAUUGAAGUCUAUGAGGCCUGGCGUAACUCAAAGCAAAAUUGUGAAAAAGGAGUGAACUGGUGGGUGAAGUUUGUUGAUGUUCUGUUGAGUGCACUUGCCUUGUGCCUCGUCAUCGUAUUGAUACUUUUACCUGAAGAUGGCUGGACAUACUGUGUUAUUGUUGCUAGGUUACUCUUAGUCAUCAUUAAACUGAUCAGUUUGUAUAGGAAAAACCGUAACUGUCAAUGGACGGUUGCAUCUAUUAGUGAAUCUUCGAUUGAAGUCACGGAAGUUCUCACGGUUCUGAUUAAACUGUGGUGGUGUUGGCCAGUUGGAGAACAAGUGAUAUCCCUGCUUAAUGGAAUAUCUAAGUGGUUCUGGUGUGCAGCGACUGUCGUUCCAAAAAUAAAACAAGUGCUUCAAAAAAAUCGCUGCGAAGAAUACAAUAUGGAGGAUAUAGUUUAGGGUUGUAUGAAUCAAUAAAUGUUCAUUUUUGUGUAAA
Molecule: long non-coding RNA, 930 nt
Organism: Wyeomyia smithii (pitcher-plant mosquito)
Lineage: Eukaryota; Metazoa; Arthropoda; Insecta; Diptera; Culicidae
Exons: 3
Source: RefSeq, a predicted model, not a curated record